UCCGGUACGCUGCGAAAAAUUCUACACGUUAUUUUUUCCGAGUCUAAUACACGUGACCAAUUAACGAUCGUGUUCCAGCAGCAUGUACUUACGUGCUUUGACUCGAUAAUUGAUUCGAAAAAAAAACGAUAGAAAAAGAAAAAGAAUUUUGUAAAUUACAUUGAUGAAUAUUUUUAUAAAAAAGAAAAAGUUUUCGAAAUGAUUUUAUUAUUUUUAUAAAAGUAAAUGGAAAAUGAAAAAUAGAAUCUUGCAUACCAUCUCUUGGAAAGUAUCAAAUCUAUCGAAUUUCUUGCUACCAACUUCACAGAAUUUAAAUCGGAAUACCUAACCAAGAAAUCACAAAACCACUUCUCUUCUAAUCUUUCAGGCCAGUCACUAAAAACUUCCAUAAAGAAAUUCAACUAAACAUAGUAAAGAAACUACAUAUUACCAAAGUAUUUUAUAGUAUUUUUCUUCUAGGAAUCGAUAAGUUUUCGAAAAAAAGAGAAAAAAAAGAAGUGGAACGCGAUUCGUCUCGGUUGAAAAACAAGAGCUCAUUUACCUUUUCUCCUGUAAUGUUAAGGAAACAAGAUGGAGGCUUUUCGCAAUAUACCAGCGUCCCCCUCGCAAAAAAUGUCAACCGUAUUACCUUUUUGCUCGAGUGGUCGCAAUUUUUGUGUAAGUUAAUUGCAUGCCGUGCUCGGGGUGCGCAAUUGAUGCUCUUCUCUUCUGUAUCGUGGAAAUAAGUACAGAAACAGGUCCAAAAGAGACACGAUCGACCGACAAUGGUAUCGAGGCGUGCUCCUGCUCGAGAAACACGCUGAAUUCGAGCGAAAAGAGAACGAGGAAGGACCGGCUGGUUCUCUCUAGCGAGGGUAACGCGGCGAGAACACGAAGCAAACGACAAGUAUAGAUAUACGCAGAGAACGAAGUGCGUCGUUUGACUGCUUUGACUGGCGUGCGCACGCAGCAGAAGGAAAAAAGGGGCUGUGCUCAAGUGGCGACGUCUGUUGCGGCCAAAGGACAGGGAGGAGUCAAGUGUUUGCUUGCCAGGCGAAUUAUUUUAUUGCUGACUGGAGAAAGGUUAUGUCGAAUCGACUUUAAAUCCCUUUUCGUUGAGUGUGACAUUUGUUUCGUGCCGAAAAAAACAGUGACUAGAUCGCGAGAAAUGUUACCAAUGAAAUAUAUAGCACUAUAACAAGGAUAGUGAGGUUAUGUUCGAAAAUUUCUCAACGCUUUAAUGAAAUUUAGAUAUCUAUCUUGAAAGCACGAAAAAAAUGAAAAAAAUUUUCAAUCAGGAAUACUUUUGAUGAUAAUUGUUGAUUAUUAUUGAAAGAGAUAAUCAUUUUAUCGAGAGAAGAUUAUAUUUUAAUAUUAUAAAUUCAAUGAAAGAAAUAAAUGCUUAUUGAAAACAUGUAAAUUUCACUUUUUCACGUUCUAAUUUCACCUUUCCUAUUUAAAAUUAAAAUUCUGACAUGAAAAUUAUCGUUUCAAAUACUAAAAAAAAAAAAAAAGAAUCACUCGAAGCACGAAUGAGACUAUUAUUAUAACACCAAUCGUUGUUCUAAGAAGUACAAUUUUUUCUAUCAUAAUCAAACAUUUAAUAAUCAUGCAAUUUCAAAUUCGCGUGCAUAUCGAUCGCAUGUAUAGUAACAUGCAUAGUAAUUUUUGAAGAGUCAAGAAAAAAUAUAAAAUAUCAUACAGAUUAUAGAAUUAUAUAGAAAUAUUAUAAAAUUAAAUAAUUAAAUAGCAUAAGUAGACGAUAUGAAUGGAACGAAACACAUUAAGUGCACGAACAACAUUCACAUAAGACUGUCUGUGAGAUGAUCUGAUCUGUCGCCUAGGGCAAAGAGAAACCUGCUCCGCUAGUUACUAUUAAUCGGAAAUUGUUUAACUCGUCUGAUUAACAUCUGAUUGGUCUAUAAGUAUACAGCGUGCAAUAACGUCCGUUGUUAUCAGUCGGAAAUGUAUAAUCCCAUACCUUAAUAUGAUGCUACUUCUCUUUCAGCACAUAAUCAUUUAGAACACAUCCAGAACAUUGAAACAACUUUAUCGUAUUACUGAUUGCACGACUCUUUCAUUUGUGAAAAUUACACCCACUAAACUUUAUCACCGUUAUGUGCGUCGUCAUCUAAUAUUACAUGCGCGAAAUUGAAAUGCGCAUUUGAAUUCAGACACUGAUCCCUCUGGUGGUGAAAUAGAGUACUUGACUUGUGAUCCGUAGGGUCGAGAAAAACAAUGAAUCAUGGUAAGGGUUAGAUUGAAAUAAAGAGAUGGGAUUUCUUUUGUAGAGUUUGACUCUCCGAAGUACUUUCAAGAUGAAUGACUAACACACUGCGUCAAUUUUUCUUCCUUUUGUAAAAAAGGAAACUAUAAUGUGCCGUACCGGUUGACAUCAUUAUCAUUACCACUUUUGCAUAAAAGGAAAUUGAAAUCGCUCUUUAAUCAAGCAUACAGUGUAAGGAGAAAAACGAUCAAGAAAACACGUCAACAACGGAUUGGAAAAUUAGAGCAGAGAUGAGCGCGUGCAAUGGAUUCGGAAAGAUCUGUCAUCGCUUUCGAAAAUUUCUCCCUUUUUCCUCGAGGCAAGCGAAAGACCCCUUUACAACUACCCAAGUUGCGGGGAAGCUACGAGAAACGGCCCUGAUGGCCUGUAAACAAGUGAAACAGAACUUUCACGGCCACGAGCUCGACCUGGUCACUUCGUUUUAGGUGUACAGAUAUUACAUAUAUAGUACAUACGAGGUCGGACAAAAAACGAAGCAGAAACAGCAACGGUUAUCCCAGCCUGGCUCUGUGAGAGCAGAAUCGACGCAUAAAAAAGAAACAGGUUAUCGAAUUAAAGCGAUACCGGUCCCGAGACGCGUAAUUUCUAUCCCCAGGCCAUUCCAGAAUAAUAUUUGGAGGGCAACGGUACACGCCUUGGGCGAAUCUUUCAAUAUUUUCCAUCUUUGAUUCUCGAUUUAUCGUUUCUAUUCCAAACAUAUAGCGAACGUUCGUAUUCGCGGAUGAAAAAAUGGUGGAUAUUAUUUGUUUACAGACACGUCUUUCCACUAUAGUACCAUGGAAACCCAGGCGAAAAAAUGCUUCGCUACGCAAUAAGAUCGUUUUCGUUUACUUACGAACUCGGAUGGAUCAUAUUACACCUCGACGCCAUGGUUCGGAGAUGUUCAAGAUAGUGUCUAGGACGCGUGACGAGCAUACACUUUUCUAACACACUCCAAUGGAUUUUCAGUUAGAUAAUAAUAAAAUUCAAAAAAAAAGAAAAAAAAAA
Molecule: long non-coding RNA, 3253 nt
Organism: Apis cerana (Asiatic honeybee)
Lineage: Eukaryota; Metazoa; Arthropoda; Insecta; Hymenoptera; Apidae
Source: RefSeq, a predicted model, not a curated record